ACGCUAGCUACAGGCUUAACACAUGCAAGUCGAGGGGAAACGGCAUUAAGUGCUUGCACUUUUUGGACGUCGACCGGCGCACGGGUGAGUAACGCGUAUCCAACCUUCCCAUGACUAAGGGAUAACCUGCCGAAAGGCAGACUAAUACCUUAUGGUCUUCACUGACGGCAUCAGAUGUGAAGUAAAGAUUUAUCGGUUAUGGAUGGGGAUGCGUCUGAUUAGCUUGUUGGCGGGGUAACGGCCCACCAAGGCAACGAUCAGUAGGGGUUCUGAGAGGAAGGUCCCCCACAUUGGAACUGAGACACGGUCCAAACUCCUACGGGAGGCAGCAGUGACGAAUAUUGGUCAAUGGGCGAGAGCCUGAACCAGCCAAGUAGCGUGCAGGAUGACGGCCCUAUGGGUUGUAAACUGCUUUCGUAUGGGGAUAAAGUCAAUCACGUGUGAUUGUUUGCAGGUACCAUACGAAUAAGGACCGGCUAAUUCCGUGCCAGCAGCCGCGGUAAUACGGAAGGUCCGGGCGUUAUCCGGAUUUAUUGGGUCUAAAGGGAGCGUAGGCUGGAGAUUAAGUGUGUUGUGAAAUGUAGACGCUCAACGUCUGACUUGCAGCGCAUACUGGUUUCCUUGAGUACGCACAACGUUGGCGGAAUUCGUCGUGUAGCGGUGAAAUGCUUAGAUAUGACGAAGAACUCCGAUUGCGAAGGCAGCUGACGGGAGCGCAACUGACGCUGAAGCUCGAAGGUGCGGGUAUCGAACAGGAUUAGAUACCCUGGUAGUCCGCACAGUAAACGAUGGAUGCCCGCUGUUGGUACCUGGUAUCAGCGGCUAAGCGAAAGCAUUAAGCAUCCCACCUGGGGAGUACGCCGGCAACGGUGAAACUCAAAGGAAUUGACGGGGGCCCGCACAAGCGGAGGAACAUGUG
RNAcentral lists this ribosomal RNA (919 nucleotides) under uncultured bacterium. Its description in RNAcentral is "bacterial SSU rRNA". It matches the Rfam family "Bacterial small subunit ribosomal RNA", at positions 33 to 943 of the family's 1533-position model. The record is from RNAcentral.